Molecule: unclassified non-coding RNA, 203 nt
Filed under: Hevea brasiliensis (rubber tree)
Lineage: Eukaryota; Viridiplantae; Streptophyta; Magnoliopsida; Malpighiales; Euphorbiaceae
Source: RNAcentral
AUUUUCUUGCAUUCUUAAUUGUUAAUAUUGUCUUUUGCCUCAAUUAAUAUGUUUCCUUCCAAUUUCUACAGAUUCUUUGUGUUAAUCUUUUCACCCUUCAUGAUUACGAGAACACCUAGGCUAAUUCUCCUAACUUCACUAUGAAUUGAACACUCUUAACUCACAGAUUUCAACUUAUUCAAGGAAAUUAAAUUCCUUUCAAA